AGUGAACGCUGGCGGUAGGCCUAACACAUGCAAGUCGAACGGCAGCUCAGUAAGAGCUUGCUCUUACGGGUGGCGAGUGGCGGACGGGUGAGGAAUACAUCGGAAUCUACUUUUUCGUGGGGGAUAACGUAGGGAAACUUACGCUAAUACCGCAUACGACCUACGGGUGAAAGCAGGGGAUCUUCGGACCUUGCGCGAUUGAAUGAGCCGAUGUCGGAUUAGCUAGUUGGCGGGGUAAAGGCCCACCAAGGCGACGAUCCGUAGCUGGUCUGAGAGGAUGAUCAGCCACACUGGAACUGAGACACGGUCCAGACUCCUACGGGAGGCAGCAGUGGGGAAUAUUGGACAAGGGGCGCAAGCCUGAUCCAGCCAUACCGCGUGGGUGAAGAAGGCCUUCGGGUUGUAAAGCCCUUUUGUUGGGAAAGAAAAGCAGCAGGUUAAUACCCCGCUGUUCUGACGGUACCCAAAGAAUAAGCACCGGCUAACUUCGUG
RNAcentral lists this ribosomal RNA (492 nucleotides) under uncultured bacterium. RNAcentral's name for it is "partial 16S ribosomal RNA". It matches the Rfam family "Bacterial small subunit ribosomal RNA", at positions 29 to 507 of the family's 1533-position model. The record is from RNAcentral.